AAAAUUCUUCCUGUGCACCUUCCUGUGCUUCAGCUUGUGCCUGUGCCUCUUGUUACUCGACACCACCAAGAAGAGCCUGGCUUCAUCCUCUUGGCACCUUCCCCUCCAAUUCCCUUACAUAUAUUGAUUAUUCCUCUUCAUAUUUUCCUCUGUGCCUUCAGCUGGACAGAGAGAUGCUCUGCUGUGGGUGUGAGCAAGCGUGGCCAAGGAAGGGUUCAUGAACUGGGACACAUGGUCUUGGUUGUGCCAAGUUCAUGAAAGGAGGGAGCAGGAGGAGGCUUGCUGCUGGCACUGGAGCUUUUGAACCACUGAGGCAGGACUGUGAGGAAUGGACAGGAGCAUUCCAUGGAAGAAGAAUGAAAAAGGCUAUGAAUUCAGGUAGAAAUAGAAAAUCUGCUGAGAGGAGAAAUCGCAGCAUGAGAGGCCUCGUGGGCUGCAGGAAGGAGGUCAGCACCACAUUUCAGAGAGGCUGUGACACAGAGCUCCUGUUUCUGCACUCUGAUGAGCUGGCUGCAGGACCGUGAUACACGCUCCAUGGCCAGCACCGACACACCGGACGUGCUUUCCAUGGGCACCUCUCCCGGGCCACUUGGAACCAAAUAUUUUUGCCAGUGACUUAGUGAUAAACUGAGAAGUGCAUUCAUUCAAUUUUUAAAUAGCAGAAUGCUGUAAGGGUUGUGAGUGUACUAGGGGGUGGGGUGAGGUGUGAGAAUGUUUCUGUCUGAUCCUGCCAAAGUCAGAUGUGUUUUCUGUAACACUUUGUAGCUGGCUGGGGGGGGCCCAUCUGAAAGCCCAAGCACCAAAGGUCUCUGUGCUGGGUCCUGCCAAACCCCUUGUGGGCUCAGCCCAGGGCUCACAGACAAGGUGGUCUCAGCACCUUGUGUUCCCCACCCCUGUCCUGGGGGUACCUGCACUGCCAGCCUGGCUGACCUGGGGCAUGGAGACUUCCACCUCCUACAACACAGCCAGCAUGGAACAAGGAAUGAGCAUAGCCAAGACCAAACAUGAUCUUCAUGAUCUACUGCUCAAAGCUCACUUUGCUGCACAGGAGGUCCUGUGGAUGGGGAACAUACAGGCAGCCCCAGAAGGGGUUAUUAGCCCCCCAACAUGUUCCCCAGCCAGCCUGCUGCCAUAGGGACAGCCUCAACAUUGGGACUCAAAGCCUAAAAUCAUCUUAACAUGCAGAUUUAAAUUGCUUUAAUAAUGAUUUUCACUUGGGCUUGGAGUUGCACGUGAUCUCUAUGUUUUACAGGGACAUUUAGUGCUGUCUCCUCUGCUGAGAGGCAGCUUUGUGUGUGGACAAGCAAGUGCCCAGGCUCAUAAAGGGAGGGUGGACUCCCAGACCUGGUAAGCCUGCUGCAAAGCUGCUGCUGUCAAGAUCUAGAGGGAGGAAAACUGGGCUCUGCUCCACCUGCCCAGGCUGCUUCCUGCUCUCACAAAGCCCUUAGAAAAAUGAAACCAGUCAAAAAUUUGCAAAAAAAAC
Molecule: long non-coding RNA, 1483 nt
Filed under: Serinus canaria (Common canary)
Lineage: Eukaryota; Metazoa; Chordata; Aves; Passeriformes; Fringillidae
Description: lncRNA (ENSSCAG00000004848.1)
Source: RNAcentral